GAAGGAGGGGGAGGCGGGGUCGGGGCGGUGGGAAGCUUCUCUCGCGUGCCCGCCCCGAGCCGCGGCCGUCUGCAGCGAGGUGACGGGCCGGCCGGGUAGCGGCUCACGGCGCGGGCGGUGCGGUCCGGAGGCGUCGGGGAUGCGGCGGGUGAACCGUGCGGAAAAGAGCAGCGCUAUGAGCGUAGGCGUUAUAUUUGUUAAGUCCAAGGGUGAGAAGAGAUCCAAUUGCAUUCUGUGUGAAGCAAAGCGGUUUCAAAGGCAUUAAUGUGGUCCUCUCCGGUGACAAAAGAUGGACAAGAGG
This is a non-coding RNA of Coturnix japonica (Japanese quail), 301 nucleotides long. The record is from RefSeq and is a predicted model, not a curated record. Lineage: Eukaryota; Metazoa; Chordata; Aves; Galliformes; Phasianidae.